UUAAGCGACUAAGCGUACACGGUGGAUGCCCUGGCAGUCAGAGGCGAUGAAGGACGUGCUAAUCUGCGAAAAGCGUCGGUAAGGUGAUAUGAACCGUUACAGCCGGCGAUGUCCGAAUGGGGAAACCCAGUGUGAUUCGUCACACUAUCGUUAACUGAAUACAUAGGUUAACGAGGCGAACCGGGGGAACUGAAACAUCUAAGUACCCCGAGGAAAAGAAAUCAACCGAGAUUCCCCCAGUAGCGGCGAGCGAACGGGGAGCAGCCCAGAGUCUGAAUCAGCUUGUGUGUUAGUGGAACGGUCUGGAAAGUCCGACGGUACAGGGUGAUAGUCCCGUACACCAAAAUGCACAGGNUGUGAACUCGAAGAGUAGGGCGGGACACGUGGUAUCCUGUCUGAAUAUGGGGGGACCAUCCUCCAAGGCUAAAUACUCCUGACUGACCGAUAGUGAACCAGUACCGUGAGGGAAAGGCGAAAAGAACCCCGGCGAGGGGAGUGAAAAAGAACCUGAAACCGUGUACGUACAAGCAGUGGGAGCACCUUCGGGUGUGACUGCGUACCUUUUGUAUAAUGGGUCAGCGACUUAUAUUCUGUAGCAAGGUUAACCGUAUAGGGGAGCCGCAGGGAAACCGAGUCUUAACUGGGCGUUAAGUUGCAGGGUAUAGACCCGAAACCCGGUGAUCUAGCCAUGGGCAGGUUGAAGGUUGGGUAACACUAACUGGAGGACCGAACCGACUAAUGUUGAAAAAUUAGCGGAUGACUUGUGGCUGGGGGUGAAAGGCCAAUCAAACCGGGAGAUAGCUGGUUCUCCCCGAAAGCUAUUUAGGUAGCGCCUCGUGAACUCAUCUUCGGGGGUAGAGCACUGUUUCGGCUAGGGGGUCAUCCCGACUUACCAACCCGAUGCAAACUACGAAUACCGAAGAAUGUUAUCACGGGAGACACACGGCGGGUGCUAACGUCCGUCGUGAAGAGGGAAACAACCCAGACCGCCAGCUAAGGUCCCAAAGUCAUGGUUAAGUGGGAAACGAUGUGGGAAGGCACAGACAGCCAGGAUGUUGGCUUAGAAGCAGCCAUCAUUUAAAGAAAGCGUAAUAGCUCACUGGUCGAGUCGGCCUGCGCGGAAGAUGUAACGGGGCUAAACCAUGCACCGAAGCUGCGGCAGCGACACUAUGUGUUGUUGGGUAGGGGAGCGUUCUGUAAGCCUGCGAAGGUGUGCUGUGAGGCAUGCUGGAGGUAUCAGAAGUGCGAAUGCUGACAUAAGUAACGAUAAAGCGGGUGAAAAGCCCGCUCGCCGGAAGACCAAGGGUUCCUGUCCAACGUUAAUCGGGGCAGGGUGAGUCGACCCCUAAGGCGAGGCCGAAAGGCGUAGUCGAUGGGAAACAGGUUAAUAUUCCUGUACUUGGUGUUACUGCGAAGGGGGGACGGAGAAGGCUAUGUUAGCCGGGCGACGGUUGUCCCGGUUUAAGCAUGUAGGCUGAUUGUCCAGGCAAAUCCGGAUAAUCAAGGCUGAGGUGUGAUGACGAGGCACUACGGUGCUGAAGUAACAAAUGCCCUGCUUCCAGGAAAAGCCUCUAAGCAUCAGGUAACAUUAAAUCGUACCCCAAACCGACACAGGUGGUCAGGUAGAGAAUACCAAGGCGCUUGAGAGAACUCGGGUGAAGGAACUAGGCAAAAUGGUGCCGUAACUUCGGGAGAAGGCACGCUGGUGUGUAGGUGAAGNUGGAGCUGAGACCAGUCGAAGAUACCAGCUGGCUGCAACUGUUUAUUAAAAACACAGCACUGUGCAAACACGAAAGUGGACGUAUACGGUGUGACGCCUGCCCGGUGCCGGAAGGUUAAUUGAUGGGGUUAUCCGUAAGGAGAAGCUCUUGAUCGAAGCCCCGGUAAACGGCGGCCGUAACUAUAACGGUCCUAAGGUAGCGAAAUUCCUUGUCGGGUAAGUUCCGACCUGCACGAAUGGCGUAAUGAUGGCCAGGCUGUCUCCACCCGAGACUCAGUGAAAUUGAACUCGCUGUGAAGAUGCAGUGUACCCGCGGCAAGACGGAAAGACCCCGUGAACCUUUACUAUAGCUUGACACUGAACAUUGAGCCUUGAUGUGUAGGAUAGGUGGGAGGCUUUGAAGCGUGGACGCCAGUCUGCGUGGAGCCAACCUUGAAAUACCACCCUUUAAUGUUUGAUGUUCUAACGUUGGCCCCUUACCGGGGUUGCGGACAGUGUCUGGUGGGUAGUUUGACUGGGGCGGUCUCCUCCCAAAGCGUAACGGAGGAGCACGAAGGUUAGCUAAUCCUGGUCGGACAUCAGGAGGUUAGUGCAAUGGCAUAAGCUAGCUUGACUGCGAGCGUGACGGCGCGAGCAGGUGCGAAAGCAGGUCAUAGUGAUCCGGUGGUUCUGAAUGGAAGGGCCAUCGCUCAACGGAUAAAAGGUACUCCGGGGAUAACAGGCUGAUACCGCCCAAGAGUUCAUAUCGACGGCGGUGUUUGGCACCUCGAUGUCGGCUCAUCACAUCCUGGGGCUGAAGUAGGUCCCAAGGGUAUGGCUGUUCGCCAUUUAAAGUGGUACGCGAGCUGGGUUUAGAACGUCGUGAGACAGUUCGGUCCCUAUCUGCCGUGGGCGCUGGAGAAUUGAGGGGGGCUGCUCCUAGUACGAGAGGACCGGAGUGGACGCAUCACUGGUGUUCGGGUUGUCAUGCCAAUGGCACUGCCCGGUAGCUAAAUGCGGAAGAGAUAAGUGCUGAAAGCAUCUAAGCACGAAACUUGCCCCGAGAUGAGUUCUCCCUGAGACUUUAAGUCUCCUGAAGGAACGUUGAAGACGACGACGUUGAUAGGCCGGGUGUGUAAGCGCAGCGAUGCGUUGAGCUAACCGGUACUAAUGAACCGUGAGGCUUAACCUU
This 2891-nucleotide ribosomal RNA is filed under the name Klebsiella pneumoniae. RNAcentral's name for it is "23S ribosomal RNA". It matches the Rfam family "Bacterial large subunit ribosomal RNA". Lineage: Bacteria; Pseudomonadati; Pseudomonadota; Gammaproteobacteria; Enterobacterales; Enterobacteriaceae. The record is from RNAcentral.